GUCCCCAUUACUCUCCUCACCCCCUUUAGGUUUCAUGUCUCCAGCACCAUCUCCCCUUCCAUGGCACCCGGGAACUUCUCCUGAGCUACGCUGGAGGCCCCAGGAAUCAGCCAAAGCCUAAGGACUCAAACACUGACCCGCAGAAGCGUUCAUUUCCUCCUGACACUGGUUCCAAGUCACCUUCUCCAUCAAAUAACAGAGCGGUUCCCUCUAGACCAAUUAGCUAUCUGCAGUUGCUGCUGGCUUCUUCCUCUGAAGGCUGCUGACCUGCCAGGCUGAGGAUGCUGCCUACCACGGCAUCAGGAUUCAGGAGAGAAGAGGCAGCGCAGUGUGAGGGCUGCCUCCUGGGGUCCCAGGGCCGGUCCAUACCUCCAGGGCCCUGGAGCCCUGCAAGGCUAAAGAGGAGAGGUGACUUCAUUUGAGGAUGGCCUCAUUCUUGAGCCCUAACUCACACAGCGGUGAGGCUGCCUUCUGUGUCCCUCCUGCACAUCCAUACCCUAUCUUAAAUAGGAAGGUAGAAAAGAAAAAAAGAUGCUAAGGACACAGCUCCUAACUUAGGCAGAGUUGAGAAACAGAGGCCUCCUGGGUAGCUAAAAAUGCCUUGAAGGCAAGAGACCCAAGUCCAUUGGUGAAGAGGGUCUUAUCUACCUGCACUAAGAGGCUGGGCCGAGGCCCCUCUUAAAUUUUUCAACAUCAGA
This is a long non-coding RNA of Urocitellus parryii (Arctic ground squirrel), 698 nucleotides long. RefSeq lists it as uncharacterized. The record is from RefSeq and is a predicted model, not a curated record. NCBI's taxonomy places the organism in Eukaryota, Metazoa, Chordata, Mammalia, Rodentia, Sciuridae.